Molecule: non-coding RNA, 952 nt
Organism: Lonchura striata (white-rumped munia)
Lineage: Eukaryota; Metazoa; Chordata; Aves; Passeriformes; Estrildidae
Source: RefSeq, a predicted model, not a curated record
ACUGGUCAAAGAAAAAGAAGCAGCAUGCGUGGUGAAAGUCAUAGUAUAUCUAUGUAACUACAGCAAAAAGGAAACUCAUAGACCUUCUACAGUGUUGAUCAACAGCAAAAUCAACUGAUGGUCAUCGAAAUCCCAUUCCAGCCAGGAAGCAAGAAGAGUAAUCCCCUUAAACAGAAAAUUAUUACUGAAGGAGUACUGUGGACCCAACCCAAAAUGUAAUACACUAGCAAAGGAGAAUACAUUUCAGUGUGAGUGCUGCAGGUCUUCUUCCACCAGCCUUUCCCAGACAGAGAUGUGGUAUUGCUCCUGUGAUGUUGCUCCCAGAUGCAGAGAUAAAGGCAAUUCAGCAGCUGCUCCUCCGUGAGUCAGCUGAAGGUACUGGGAGGAGCCCAGUGGAAUUGACACCAAUUUGGGACACAUUUUAGCCUGGAAUAACUCCAGAAGAAGAACUUACUAGCUAAGCCUUGCUGGAAUUUAUGGAUAAGAGCAACAUGAAGAAAAUUAGAAGCAAGACCAGAGUUAUUCUGCAAGAGGGAAGAUGGUAAAAAAAUUCAAGACCAUAUCAGAAACCAAAUAACUUCAUUAAAACAUAGAACUACAAAGGAAGUCUCCACUGUGUAUUAGAUAUUCAUCAUACCUACCCUGUUCCCCAAGUAUCUGUAUUUACUUUAAGCUCAGACAUCUGUGCAUCCACUGUGAAGUCUUUCUAUGCAAUGUAGAAAUUUAUUCUAGAUUUGAUCAUGCAUAAUUAAGUAAUGGUGACCUAUACUUCAGAAGAUUAUCAAUGCUGAUAUUGUCAUAAAUAACUGAUAACCUGACAAAUAAUACAGUAUAAACUUAAUUAGUGCACAGCACUAUAUGCCUCAGGAAGAGUGUUUCAAAGACCCUGUUUUCCUAACCCUGAUUGAUGAUUCCUUUUGAGCUUAAUAAAUGCUCAAAGCUGGGAUCAAAA